AGAGGGGCGGAGCUGGCAAGACCAGAAUGUUGGAUAUUGGUAACUGCGAGGGGGCUGAGCAAAGGCUUCUCGGGAGCACAGACCAGGAAAUGCCCUUCAUAGGUGCCUAGGCCUCGCCGCACUCGUAGGCAACAAAGCGGCACCCCCAGGGUCCUCAGCGACCUCAGGUGACCCUUAGAAUGGACCCCGGAGAAUGCAGAGGUGGGGAGAGGGUGUGUGACCUGUAGGUUGAAUCCCGCACCUCCAAUCUUCACGCCCAAGAAGGCUCUCCUUCCAAGCCACCCUGGGAUGGCCAGUGGGGUCCUGAGGGACGGACUUUAUAUGAACUUAUUUUGCAGAAAGAAACAUUUCAACAGAGAACCCUGCGGAAAUUGAGACAAGUUAUCUUCUCAAAGUCCUGAACUCCCAUUCCUACUUCAGAAGGCACUCCUCUGUUCACAGCAGCUAAAGCUUGCCCAAAGUCCAGUUCCUUCCCAAGGAAAUUCUGUUUGGAUUUUGGAUGCACACUUUUCCAAGCAUUGUGUUCUUCAAAUUCGACAAGCUCAAACCUUGCGAUCUCUUGGAGGUAGGCGUGAUCACCUGGCUGGUAUCAGAGGGGAUGACUGGUAAGAAGUUGUUUCAG
Suricata suricatta (meerkat) is the source of this 622-nucleotide long non-coding RNA. RefSeq lists it as uncharacterized. The record is from RefSeq and is a predicted model, not a curated record. NCBI's taxonomy places the organism in Eukaryota, Metazoa, Chordata, Mammalia, Carnivora, Herpestidae. The transcript has 3 exons.